UGCGAGUGAAGCGGGAAAAGCUCAAAUUUAAAAUCUAAUGGUCCUUGGCCAUUCGAGUUGUAAUUUAGAGAAGCGUCUUCCGCGCCAGACCAUGUACAAGUCUCCUGGAACGGAGCGUCAUAGAGGGUGAGAAUCCCGUCUUUGACAUGGACCCUUGGUGCUUCUGUGAUGCGCUCUCAAAGAGUCGAGUUGUUUGGGAAUGCAGCUCAAAAUGGGUGGUGAACUCCAUCUAAGGCUAAAUAUUGGCGAGAGACCGAUAGCGAACAAGUACCGUGAGGGAAAGAUGAAAAGCACUUUGGAAAGAGAGUGAAACAGUACGUGAAAUUGUUGAAAGGGAAACACUUGAAGUCAGUCGCGUCGAUCGAGACUCAGCCUCGCCUUUGGCUUGGCGUACUUCUCGACUUGACGGGCCAGCAUCAAUUUCGUCCCUCGGAUAAUGGCAGGGGAAAGGUGGCACCUUCACGGGUGUGUUAUAGUCUCUUGUCGCAUGCGAGGGGUGGGAUUGAGGAACUCAGCACGCACCUCACGGUGUCGGGGCUUCGGCCCACGUUACGUGCUCACGAUGCCGGCGUAAUGGCUUUAAAUGACCCGUCUUGAAACACGGACCAAGGAGUCUAACAUGCCUGCGAGUGUUCGGGUGGAAAACCCGUGUGCGUAAUGAAAGUAAAAGUUGGGACCUCUGUCGUGAGGGCACCGACGCCCGGACCAGACCUUCUGUGACGGAUCUGCGGUAGAGCAUGCAUGUUGGGACCCGAAGAUGGUGACUAUGCCUGAUAGGUGAGCCAGAGAACUCUGUGAGCUCGUAGCGAUCUGACGUGCAAUCGA
RNAcentral lists this ribosomal RNA (825 nucleotides) under Lactifluus volemus. RNAcentral describes it as "Lactarius volemus partial large subunit ribosomal RNA". It matches the Rfam family "Eukaryotic large subunit ribosomal RNA", at positions 88 to 901 of the family's 3401-position model. Lineage: Eukaryota; Fungi; Basidiomycota; Agaricomycetes; Russulales; Russulaceae. The record is from RNAcentral.